Molecule: ribosomal RNA, 431 nt
Filed under: uncultured bacterium
Lineage: Bacteria
Description: bacterial SSU rRNA
Rfam family: Bacterial small subunit ribosomal RNA
Source: RNAcentral
AUUGAACGCUGGCGGCAUGCUUUACACAUGCAAGUCGAACGGGGUUGGGAGCUUGCUUCCAAUCUAGUGGCGAACGGGUGAGUAAUACAUCGGAACGUACCGUGUAGUGGGGGAUAACGUAGCGAAAGUUACGCUAAUACCGCAUACGAUCCACGGAUGAAAGCAGGGGACCUUCGGGCCUUGUGCUAUACGAGCGGCCGAUGUCUGAUUAGCUAGUUGGUGAGGUAAAGGCUCACCAAGGCGACGAUCAGUAGCGGGUCUGAGAGGAUGAUCCGCCACACUGGGACUGAGACACGGCCCAGACUCCUACGGGAGGCAGCAGUGGGGAAUUUUGGACAAUGGGCGCAAGCCUGAUCCAGCCAUGCCGCGUGUCUGAAGAAGGCCUCGGGUUGGUUAAAGGUACUACUUUCUAGCAGGAACGAAACGGUAGG